Molecule: transfer RNA, 72 nt
Filed under: Planctomycetota bacterium
Lineage: Bacteria; Pseudomonadati; Planctomycetota
Description: Planctomycetes bacterium (marine metagenome) tRNA-Asn
Rfam family: tRNA
About the family: Transfer RNA (tRNA) molecules are approximately 80 nucleotides in length.
Source: RNAcentral
UGCGGUGUGGCCAAACGGUAAGGCGGUGGCCUGUUAAGCCAACGAUUGAAGGUUCGAGUCCUUCCACCGCAG